UUAGGAUGAAUCUCCACAUUAAAAUCAAUUAAGUAAUUAGGAUGAAUCUCCACAAGGGUAUCCCACAAAUAAAGUGGAAUACUUAGCAAGCUACCUUUUCCGGGAGUAUGUGAACCCUUACAAAAUUCAGCAAACAGGUCAGAAUACCAAAUCAGGGUGCAAUCGAGAAUUGCACCAAACAAAAGGAAUCACAACAGUACUGAUGUCAGGUAAACAAUGCAUGGUG
RNAcentral lists this long non-coding RNA (226 nucleotides) under Lathyrus oleraceus (garden pea). RNAcentral describes it as "Pisum sativum (pea) long non-coding RNA (PSAT_LNC001317)". Lineage: Eukaryota; Viridiplantae; Streptophyta; Magnoliopsida; Fabales; Fabaceae. The record is from RNAcentral.